RNAcentral lists this long non-coding RNA (2498 nucleotides) under Anolis carolinensis (green anole). RNAcentral describes it as "lncRNA (ENSACAG00000040550.1)". Lineage: Eukaryota; Metazoa; Chordata; Lepidosauria; Squamata; Anolidae. The record is from RNAcentral.
AUGUACAUUCUCAUAAUUCCAUUCAAGAUGCCAUUAUGUUACCUCUAUAAUACAGUCCAAGCCAGGCAAGUUUUUCAUUUUAUCAUACCAAAAGACAACAGCAUGAAUAUUUUAUGGAACUUUAGACAAAAAAGGGUGAAGAGAAAAGUGACUGAAAGCAUAGGAAAAGAAGACCACAGCAGUUCAGGAGGUUACCUGCGAGAUCAUCAAGAACAUCUUUCUGCAGAGAGAGAUUAGAGAAAAUCAGAAAUAUUCAAUGCCUGGUGAGUUUCUUGUUUGUUUUGUUAAAAGAAAUAGUUACAUUAUGUCACUUUGUCAUAUUGUCAAUUACUAAAUAAAACUGACUUUUUAAAAGAAAACAUUUCCAAACUCUGCAUAAAAAGCAUUUGUCAUUAUGACCAAUACACAGUACAAAAAAUUUCACCUCACUUUCUGUCCCUGUGAUUAUUGGAUUUUGAAAAAAAGAUGUCUUGUUGUGGAAACAAUGAUUAGCGAUAAAGCUUUGGUGGAGACACCUUUUCCCCAUGAUAACUCAUUCAGCAGUUUUAGGAGUGAAUUUCUCUUUCUAGGAGCAGAUUACUCUUACUUCUUAUUGUCUCUCCCACAUUCUUAAUUAUGAGUCAUUUAUAAGUCAGAUGUUUGCAACUCAGGGAGUGUCUGUAUAUAAAUGUUGUAGAUGGGUAAUCUCUGGAUAUAGAAUCCUUUAGUACCGAAGCCUACUGUAAAUAGGCAUGAUAAAAAAUGUGAACAUACUCCAAAAAAGUCCUUAAGCAAUUGCCAGUGACCAUUAGAUAAAAGUUGUGCUACCACCCACCAAUUUGCUGUCUACACAUAGAGAAAACCAAUGAGCUCACAAUGAAAAGAAUCCUCCAAACACAUCAUCUGACAUAAUUAAACAUAAGUUGUCCCAUAAUGGCCCACAAUUCAUCAGCCCAGGGCACAGUCAUCUGUGAACUCACUACUACUAGUUUUCUUGAGACCUCUUUAUUAUGACUCCUUUUUAUGAGCACAGCACAUGAGGGAAAGGAAAGAAAUUCUACACAUCUAUCUUUUUUUGUUGUUGGCCAGCAAAAGGAGUCCAGAGAUCUCCCUGGACCUACUCAGGAAGGAAUUAUUUGUUAAAUGUUUCCAUGGCCAGAAUCACUGGGUUGCUGUGAGUUUUCCAGACCUCACAACCUCUGAGGAUGCUUGCCAUAGAUAUGGGCAAAACGCCAGGAGAGAAUGCUUUCAGAACGUGGCAAAGUGACCAAGAGUGGCCAGGGUAUGCAACAAAGCCAGUGAUGAGCAUGCAUUGUUGACAACUCAUUUUGGUAGCUCACUGUGGAAAGCUUGAGAUGGUGAAGCAGGACUAUGGGAACGUUGGAACAUCUUAAAGUAAUUUUUUAUAUUUCAGGGGGGAAAUGCCAAAAACAAUUGUGAAAAAUUGUGUACAGAACAACAUUAGUCUAACCUCUAUCCCUAAUCCUGGUUAGAAUGAUCCCAUUGAAACAAUGAGGUUUACAUACAUUCCAGCCAUUCCAAAAUGGAUUAAAUUGGUCUACUCUGGGUGGGAUUAGAAAACAUUUCUGUGCAAAACCAAACAUGACAUUCCUUUAUUUUUAUUAAAUGCAAAUGUAUUUUGUACCCAUUUUUUUUAAUUGCUUUAGCUUUUAAUAUGGUAUUUUGCUCUCAGACAAGGAAGAGAAAUUUCACGGUAGCUGACACACUUUUUUUGACAAAUCUAACCACACAUUCAUGCUCAGAACCAAAAAAAAAAAAAAGAUUCUUUACAUCCCUUGGACAGGCUGGUUCUGCUGGAGGACAUUCCAGCAAGGUUUAAAUGACACCCUUUAUACUGCCCAUCCAAUAUUAUUUGGAUCUAGUCUAAAGAAUAAUCAAGCAUGAGCCAUAUCAAAAAAAAUUUAAAUUACCAUCUCAUCCCAUGAUCAGAUCUUAGCUUUUUAACAUCUUCCCUAAUUUUCCAAGAUGUUCCAAGAGAUGGUUGAUACCAAUUUUGCCAAAAGUUUGUGACUAGGCAGAACCUGCAACUGAGUGAAAACCACUGGGCAAAAAACUGUCCCAUUUGUGUUGCCUUUUUGAAAGUAGCUCUAGGUUGGCAUAGAAGGCUAAAGAUCUUGUAAAACUAUAGCUCCCAUAAUUUCAUAGCUCCAAUAAUGCCAUAGGAUUAAAUGUGGUGUCAAGCUACAUUAAUUCUACAGUGUAGAGGCACCCUGUGAGGCCUUUUAUGCGGUGGGGGGAGCACUGAUUAUGGACUUUGCCAGACAGUUGGGAAAGUGGAGGGAAAUGUCUAAACCUGUUCCCUCUCAGCUUUCCGCAUCUUCUGGCGAUUGACACCAGUCUCCUAACAGAGGUUUUUGGGCUCUAUUUCCAUGUGCUUGGGAAACACAGCGUCACAGAGUCCCACUGGAAGUGCCCUUACAUCGCCUGAUGGCCUCCGUGGGGCUCCUGUUGGGCUCCUUUCCCAAGCACGUGCAGACAGAGUCCAAAAACCGUCUGAU